CCUACGGGGGGCUGCAGUCGAGGAUCUUCGGCAAUGAGCGCAAGCUUGACCGAGCGACGCCGCGUGUGCGACGAAGGCCUUCGGGUUGUAAAGCACAAAGGCAUCAAGGAAAGGCAACUUGACCGAGAUGCAGUAAGCACGGGCUAAGUUCGUGCCAGCAGCCGCGGUAAGACGAACCGUGCGAACGUUGUUCGGAAUCACUGGGUUUAAAGGGCGCGUAGGCGGCCGCACACGUCUGGGGUGAAAGCCUCCCGCUCAACGGGAGAACGGCCUCG
This 275-nucleotide ribosomal RNA is filed under the name uncultured bacterium. RNAcentral's name for it is "partial 16S ribosomal RNA". It matches the Rfam family "Bacterial small subunit ribosomal RNA", at positions 338 to 628 of the family's 1533-position model. The record is from RNAcentral.